CCAGGACCAAGGUCAGCAGCAGGCGCGAAAAUUAUCGAAGCCCGCCUAGGGGCGAUAGUGAGGAGACGUGUAUACGAAGUACGUGUAAAGACCGUACUAAUAACUGGAGGUCAAGUCUGGUGCCAGCAUCCGCGGUAAUUCCAGCUCCAGGGGUGUCUAUGAUGAUUGCUGCGAUUAAAAAGUCCGUAGUCGAGCUGACUGACUGACCUGCAAUGUGAUUGAUUAAAGAACGAGCAGGGUUAGGAAAGCAGAGGAUUAGGAGCGACCGAGGGCUAGAGUAUUGAAUGGCGAGAGGUGAAAUUUGAUGACCCAUUCAGGAGUGACAAAGGCGAAGGCACUAGUCAAGGGCGAAUCCGAUGAUCAAGGACGUAGGCUAGAGUUUCGAAAACGAUUAGAGACCGGAGUAGUUCUAGCAGUAAACUAUGCCGACGCCGUGGUAUUAAAUAUUAGUAUUGCGGAAGAGAAAUCAAGUAAGGCUUUGGGGAGAGUACGCGCGCAAGCGAUAAAUU
This 509-nucleotide ribosomal RNA is filed under the name Dictyocoela sp. 23 JEI-2011. Its description in RNAcentral is "partial small subunit ribosomal RNA". It matches the Rfam family "Microsporidia small subunit ribosomal RNA", at positions 269 to 778 of the family's 1311-position model. The record is from RNAcentral. Lineage: Eukaryota; Fungi; Microsporidia.